GACGAACGCUGGCGGCGUGCUUAACACAUGCAAGUCGAACGGAAAGGCCCUGCUUUUGUGGGGUGCUCGAGUGGCGAACGGGUGAGUAACACGUGAGUAACCUGCCCUUUACUUUGGGAUAACUUCAGGAAACUGGGGCUAAUACCGGAUAGGAGCUCCUGCUGCAUGGUGGGGGUUGGAAAGUUUCGGCGGUUGGGGAUGGACUCGCGGCUUAUCAGCUUGUUGGUGGGGUAGUGGCUUACCAAGGCUUUGACGGGUAGCCGGCCUGAGAGGGUGACCGGCCACAUUGGGACUGAGAUACGGCCCAGACUCCUACGGGAGGCAGCAGUGGGGAAUAUUGCACAAUGGGCGGAAGUCUGAUGCAGCAACGCCGCGUGCGGGAUGACGGCCUUCGGGUUGUAAACCGCUUUCGCCUGUGACGAAGCGUGAGUGACGGUAAUGGGUAAAGAAGCACCGGCUAACUACGUG
RNAcentral lists this ribosomal RNA (468 nucleotides) under uncultured bacterium. RNAcentral describes it as "partial 16S ribosomal RNA". It matches the Rfam family "Bacterial small subunit ribosomal RNA", at positions 28 to 507 of the family's 1533-position model. The record is from RNAcentral.